AUUGAACGCUGGCGGCAUGCCUUACACAUGCAAGUCGAACGGCAGCACGGGAGCUUGCUCCUGGUGGCGAGUGGCGAACGGGUGAGUAAUGCAUCGGAACGUGCCCUGAAGUGGGGGAUAACGUAGCGAAAGUUACGCUAAUACCGCAUAUUCUGUGAGCAGGAAAGCAGGGGAUCUUCGGACCUUGCGCUUUUGGAGCGGCCGAUGUCGGAUUAGCUAGUUGGUGGGGUAAAGGCCCACCAAGGCGACGAUCCGUAGCGGGUCUGAGAGGAUGAUCCGCCACACUGGAACUGAGACACGGUCCAGACUCCUACGGGAGGCAGCAGUGGGGAAUUUUGGACAAU
RNAcentral lists this ribosomal RNA (344 nucleotides) under uncultured bacterium. RNAcentral's name for it is "bacterial SSU rRNA". It matches the Rfam family "Bacterial small subunit ribosomal RNA", at positions 30 to 372 of the family's 1533-position model. The record is from RNAcentral.